UUUUUAUGGAGAGUUUGAUCCUGGCUCAGGAUGAACGCUGGCGGCGUGCCUAAUACAUGCAAGUCGAGCGAACAGACGAGGAGCUUGCUCCUCUGACGUUAGCGGCGGACGGGUGAGUAACACGUGGAUAACCUACCUAUAAGACUGGGAUAACUUCGGGAAACCGGAGCUAAUACCGGAUAAUA
RNAcentral lists this ribosomal RNA (185 nucleotides) under Staphylococcus epidermidis NIH04008. Its description in RNAcentral is "partial 16S ribosomal RNA". It matches the Rfam family "Bacterial small subunit ribosomal RNA", at positions 1 to 178 of the family's 1533-position model. The record is from RNAcentral. Lineage: Bacteria; Bacillati; Bacillota; Bacilli; Caryophanales; Staphylococcaceae.